This 253-nucleotide ribosomal RNA is filed under the name uncultured bacterium. RNAcentral describes it as "partial 16S ribosomal RNA". It matches the Rfam family "Bacterial small subunit ribosomal RNA", at positions 524 to 776 of the family's 1533-position model. The record is from RNAcentral.
UACGUAGGGGGCGAGCGUUAAUCGGAAUUACUGGGCGUAAAGUGUGCGCAGGCGGCCAUGCAAGUCGAGUGUGAAAGCCCCGGGCUUAACUUGGGAAUUGCGCUCGAAACUACGUGGCUGGAGUGUGGCAGAGGAAGGUGGAAUUCCACGUGUAGCGGUGAAAUGCGUAGAGAUGUGGAGGAACACCAAUGGCGAAGGCAGCCUUCUGGGCCAACACUGACGCUCAUGCACGAAAGCGUGGGGAGCAAACAGG